UUUAAAAUAGUUUCAACACCUUGACUUUCAUCUAAUAAUAAGGAGACACUUCUCAAAAAAAUUUGGCUCUCAAUCUCCUAGAAUCUCACUUUUUGGUUUCACUCUCACCAAAACCCUAAAUUUCUCCUAAAAUCAUUUCUCCUAAAAUUAGAGCACCUUCCACAAGCUUUAUGUUCACUUACCAAAACCCUAACUCCAUCUUAAGAAACUUCAUCCCAAAAUUAAGUAGUAGGAGAAGGAGAGAGGAGAGUGGAUGGAAGAGAUCUGCAACCAAGAUGUGAUGAUGGGUUAAAGGGUGGAGAAAUAGGCUGGUUGUGGUGUUCUUGCAACCUCGCGCUGCCAAGAUGGCCAUAUUAUGCGGCGCAAACGCAUAAACGAUGAUAGAUACACAACAGUGUGUUAAACGAAAGUUGCGGUAUUGUAGAGACUUUGAUGAAUCAAUAUGCAUUAUUUGGUAAAGAUGUUGUUGAGGAAGUUGAGUUAAAGGGGUUAAAAGAUGAAGAUCUAUGUGCUUGAUGUUGAGUUCAAUGAGGAGUUUUUCUCAAUAGAGAUGUUAGUUUUUUUUAAUUUUAUUUUUUCUCAAAGGCUUCAUAGAUGAUAGAGUUUGGAUGCAAUUGUUUAUGUUAGGUUUAUUUUUAGUUACUUCUACUGUAUUGUUUUAUUAAUCUUCUUACGUGUGCAUCAAAAUGUGUAUUUUUGUAAAGAACUUUUAAACGUUAUUUGAAAAAAAAAUUAUUAACAUAGGUGUGAUUCUCGUGUUUACAAAAUUGAAAAAUUAAAGUUAUCAUAUUUCCAUGGGAUCAAGGUUGUUAAAUUUGCUUUUCUGAAUGACAUCUUGAAAUACUAUUAUACUAUUGGUUUAACAAAGUCUUGGUGUGGCAUAUGGAAACUUGAGUAUUUCUCCAUCGUAUGUUUUCACAAGAAAUUUUGCGGAAGAUAUUGAAGAUAAUGAGACCAAUGAAGAGAUUUAUGGCACUCUUUCUUUUGUUUUCUAAACUCAUUAAAUGGUUCUACUCUUAAAAUAUUUGUUUGUUGUUCUUUGGACUGAUGAUAAUGGAGAGGGUAAGUAAGAUUUUGAAUAAAUGAGGGAAAUCAAUCUCUUAAAUGUUCUCUUCCUCUUAUUGAUGUUUCUCAUGUAUAGAUGUAUGGUUAUAUUCUACAAGUGGUAAAAUGUAUCAUAAAGAUAGGUUCAAUGCAUUGUAAUUACUUCUAUAAUCAUAUCUAAGGAGCAUUUAACCUCUA
Cicer arietinum (chickpea) is the source of this 1242-nucleotide non-coding RNA. Lineage: Eukaryota; Viridiplantae; Streptophyta; Magnoliopsida; Fabales; Fabaceae. The record is from RefSeq and is a predicted model, not a curated record.